This 520-nucleotide ribosomal RNA is filed under the name Branchipolynoe meridae. Its description in RNAcentral is "partial large subunit ribosomal RNA". It matches the Rfam family "Bacterial large subunit ribosomal RNA", at positions 1808 to 2620 of the family's 2925-position model. The record is from RNAcentral. Lineage: Eukaryota; Metazoa; Annelida; Polychaeta; Phyllodocida; Polynoidae.
CAAAAACAUUGCCUUUAGGAAUAAUAUUAAAGGUUCCUCCUGCCCAGUGAAUUUACUUUCAACGGCCGCGGUACCCUAACCGUGCAAAGGUAGCAUAAUCAUUUGCCUUUUAAUUGUAGGCUAGUAUGAACGGAUAAACGAAAUUCUCCCUGUAUCAAUUUUAUACCCAAAAAUUAGACUUUAGGUGAAGAUACCUAAAUUACUUUGAAAGACAAGAAGACCCUAUAGAGUUUUAGUGGGCCUUUCCCCACUACACUCCCCCACUUUGGUUGGGGCGACCUAGGAUUAAUCAAAACAUCCUUUAUUAUAAAGAAUAUAUAUUUCUCAUUAAAGAUCCUAAAAUUUAGAUUCUAAAAAUCAACUACCUUAGGGAUAACAGGCUUAUCUUCCUAAAGAGUUCAAAUUGACAGGAAGGUCUGGCACCUCGAUGUUGGCUUAGAGUAACCUCCUAAUGCAAAAGUUAGUUUUGGUCGGUUUGUUCAACCGUUAAAUCUCUACGUGAUCUGAGUUUCAGACCGGA